ACUGAUGACCACAACAGUGGAAACUACAAACACAAAAGAACGCGCAUCUCCUACCACACUGAGCAGUUCAGUAGCUGAGAAGUCUCUCAUUAGCAUUGCUGUCGCAGUGUGGCUCAGUGUGACUGCAUUGCUGCUCUUUCUCUGCCUGUUUGGGAGACACUUGUGUCUAAAAUCAAGGCUGCCAGCGUCAGCCAGGCGGCCUGAUGUGUUUCAGAGAACACAGGCGUAUAGAGAAACCACUGCAGGACUCUACUCGACUGAUCACCCACAUCAAAGAAUCAGAAGAGAUGGACCUCAAACAGAAGCAGAUGUGUAUGAAUCUCUAUC
Molecule: long non-coding RNA, 327 nt
Organism: Colossoma macropomum (tambaqui)
Lineage: Eukaryota; Metazoa; Chordata; Actinopteri; Characiformes; Serrasalmidae
Exons: 3
Source: RefSeq, a predicted model, not a curated record